AUCCUACGGGGGGCUGCAGUGGGGAAUCUUGGACAAUGGGGGCAACCCUGAUCCAGCGACGCCGCGUGGGUGACGAAGGCCUUCGGGUUGUAAAGCCCUUUUUCCGGGGACGAUGAUGACGGUACCCGGGGAAUAAGCACCGGCUAACUCCGUGCCAGCAGCCGCGGUAAGACGGAGGGUGCUAGCGUUGUUCGGAUUUACUGGGCGUAAAGGGCGCGUAGGCGGCCUGAUCAGUCGGGUGUGAAAGCCCGGGGCUCAACCCCGGAACGGCACCCGAGACGGUCAGGCUGGAGACCGGGAGAGGAGGGUGGAAUAGCCAGUGUAGAGGUGAAAUUCGUAGAUAUUGGCUGGAACACCGGUGGCGAAAGCGGCUCUCUGGCCCGGUUCUGACGCUGAGGCGCGAAAGCGUGGGGAGCAAACAGGAUUAGAUACCCCAGUAGUCGU
Molecule: ribosomal RNA, 444 nt
Filed under: uncultured Rhodospirillales bacterium
Lineage: Bacteria; Pseudomonadati; Pseudomonadota; Alphaproteobacteria; Rhodospirillales
Description: bacterial SSU rRNA
Rfam family: Bacterial small subunit ribosomal RNA
Source: RNAcentral